CUACGGGAGGCAGCAGUGAGGAAUAUUGGGCAAUGGCCGAAAGGCUGACCCAGCAACGCCGCGUGGAGGACGAAGACCUUCGGGUUGUAAACUCCUUUUCUGGGGGAAGAGAAAGGACGGUACCCCAGGAAUAAGUCACGGCUAACUACGUGCCAGCAGCCGCGGUAAAACGUAGGUGGCAAGCGUUAUCCGGAUUUACUGGGCGUAAAGCGCUUGUAGGUGGCUUUGUAAGUUGGAUGUGAAAACUCUGGGCUUAACCCAGAGAGGCCGUCCAAUACUGCAGGGCUGGAGGAUGUCAGAGGAAGGUGGAAUUCCUGGUGUAGUAGUGAAAUGCGUAGAUAUCAGGAGGAAUACCGAUGGCGAAGGCAGGUCCCUGGGUUAACACUGACGCUCAUGCACGAAAGCGUGGGGAGCAAACAGGAUUAGAAACCCCGGUAGUCC
Molecule: ribosomal RNA, 441 nt
Filed under: uncultured bacterium
Lineage: Bacteria
Description: bacterial SSU rRNA
Rfam family: Bacterial small subunit ribosomal RNA
Source: RNAcentral